This is a non-coding RNA of Podarcis lilfordi (Lilford's wall lizard), 74 nucleotides long. NCBI's taxonomy places the organism in Eukaryota, Metazoa, Chordata, Lepidosauria, Squamata, Lacertidae. The record is from the annotation of a GenBank genome assembly.
GCCUGGAUACUUCAGUUGGUUAGAGCAUAGUGCUCAUAACCCCAAGGUUGUGGGUUCAAUCCCCAUAUGGGACA